Long non-coding RNA from Suricata suricatta (meerkat), 683 nucleotides. RefSeq lists it as uncharacterized. The transcript is spliced from 4 exons. Lineage: Eukaryota; Metazoa; Chordata; Mammalia; Carnivora; Herpestidae. The record is from RefSeq and is a predicted model, not a curated record.
CCUCCUAGGUUUCAGGUUAGGACAGUCUCCAAGGGACAUUCUCUCGCGAGAGCUGGAAGAACGCAACAUGGCAGCAACCGUCUUGUAGUAUGAAACCGCGUACUGCUGGUCACCUGUCUCAGUCUCUGGUGAGGCUGCUGAGGGGUCUGAGGUUUCCUUGUCUUCCCACUGGGCCCACUUCCUUCAGUUUCUCUGCGCCAUGGGGCGGAGUAUACUUGUGCACUGUUGCAGGCUGGUGUUGAAAAGACUACCAAACGGCAAAUUGGAGCAAGGCAAAACUUUAUUUACAGCAGGGCCAAACCUGAACUCCAGAUGCACCAGUGCUGAGCCUAAUCCUGUCAUCCGCCAAGCACAGCGGCCAUCAAGAAGCCUCUCAACAGUCCAGUCUGCUUCAGCCUAGGUCACAAGAAGUCCAGCCAAAAGUCCAGAGAGCCGUAUACCACAUCAUCAGAGGUCCUGCAUGGAAUAAUGUCUGCUGUGUAAUUUCCAUGAGAAGUACGAGCUGGAAAAGUUGCUGUUCAGAGAUCAGGAUCAAAAGAGAUUCUUCAGGAUAUUGGAAGAACAUGAACACCAGGAUCAUUUCUGCUUGUGACAUUUAAUUUGAGUCUUGGUGGGAAUUUCUGGCUCUAUCCAUGCUGAUUAGAGGGAGACAGAGCACAAGCAGAGGAGGAACAGAAAGAAGG